CUGGAGAGGAGGUCUGUGCUGCUACGUCUGUGUGUUUGUCUGCAAUUUCUUUCCUAUUUGCACAUGUAAACAUACACACUUCUCCAGUCUUUCUAGAUUUGAGUAACAGUGGGUUUUUUUAUUUUUUUUUUUCCCCUGAGUAAUACUGGAGAGUGCACUCCCCACAUUUCAACACUUCUGCAUUCAUUUCAAUGAUCACUUUAGCGUGACCUACUCCCUUUACCUAUUUCCUCCUGUGAGCCUGGCCAAGAUGAAUUUGAGACACUUCUGGGAGACUCUGGUAUUUAGAGAAUUGGUGCUGAGCACUUUUGGAAGGUUUCCUUUGCAAUGUAAGUAAGCUAUUAACAAAACGCUCAAAGCACUGCAGAAGGUGUCCAAGUAUUAAAACACACAACGUCCUCUGCAAAUUUGAUGCAGCAGCGGAGAUCACUGGAAGUCAUAAUAACAUCAGGUGUAUUAGUCAAGAAUGACAAAGAAGGCCGUUAAACGUGGGUCUGGAUAACUACACUGUGUAUGCGUGUGCUUGCAUGUGAAUUUAUAUACUCCGUUCACGUUGCUUAUAGGAGGAAAGCUGUUUGGUUUGAUGUUAAAUUCUACUUAAAAAUCGUCAAUAUUUAUUUAGUUGUUACGUCCUGAAGCCUCUCUCAUACUGCUGAAGGGUUUGCAAAGGUCUUCAGUAAUUUCACUGGGCUUUACAUGCAGCUUAAACCUGAAGACUCCAUAGAACUUUUAGCAUCUAUCUUCUAGCCACCUUUUUCUUGAGCUUGCAAAUGGGUGGAAAGCUAAAUGAGUUCUUUUAGAACUUUAUUAGCCUUUCCCUUAGAAUGUGAGACAGAUAGAUGCAUUUUUAGAUAAUACUUGACCAGUGCUGCUUCUGGAACUGCUGAUUUUAGUAAACAUUGACGACUUUGUCUCUUUAGUCUCCUGUAAAAGCCCCUUCAUAAGUAUCAAUGGAAAGAGUGCUCCUGCAAACUGCUUGCACUGAUUAAAAGAGGAAUAGAGAGCUUAGAGCAAACGAGGCUUUACUUGUAAACAAAAGCACACCUGUGUUUAAACUGAGAAAGCCUUUGUGUUUCUUGAUCUCUGCAUUCCUUUUAUUGUGCUCCUCUUUUAACACCGCAAACUUCUUUCUUUUUAUUACGAUCAGGAUUCAAACGCCUUUGCAUCUUGUCAUCUGGCCUCUGGAGUUGAGGGUGACAUAAACGGUAUACGGCUGCUAAAUGUCACGCAGGCUGAGGUGUCAGCGGAGCACAACUGAGAGCUCUGGAAUUCAAAUCAGGACCCUUGUUGCUGUGAUGUGCUGGGAGAAUCAUAGAAUCAUAGGAUGGCCUGGGUUGAAAAGGACCACAAUCAUCAUCUAGUUUCAACCUCCCUGCUAUGUGCAGGGUCACCAACCACCAGACCAAGCUGCCCAGAGCCACAUGCAGCCUGGGUGAACCCCUGCUCCAUCCCAAACCUGCGCAGGCUGCCACAGGUUUUCCUCUGCGCAAAGGCUCCUGAAAACAGGCUUUGUAUGGUACCCGUAAUUGAAGAGGAGAAAUCUGAGAUUUCUGCAGGCAUUUAAGGACAUAUGUAUAGGAUUUAGCAGUGCUAUUGAGUACUUAUAUUCAGGAGAGUGGCUUGGGAGGUCCUUAAGAACCUGAUCUGAUGCUCACCAAGGAAAUCUGUUGCUGGAAGGAGUGUGAGUUCCAACCAGGGGACCCAGCCUGGGACUGUCACUGCUUGCUGGAGGGACUGCCUGAAAUAAUUAACGGUUCAUACCAUUGUUACUUUGGGCAGUUCUGUCAUUCCUUUAUGAUGUGGCAACUUCUUAUUUUUUCCCCAGGAAAGAAAGAAAAGACUAAAUUGUAGAGGACUAAUCUUUUCCCCCCUCUCUGCGCUUUAAGUGGUGAAUUGUUGGCUUCCAUUGAUAUUGGCAGUCAUGUAGAAAGUGGUUGCAAAAGACAGAAAGAAAGUGUAACUUCAGGGCUUUUCACUCACAGAUGAAGUAGUUGGUUCGCUGGCCAAAACUGUCUUCACUCCUGAAAGGAAAAUGUAUUAGAAGAGAAAUUCAUCCCCUGCAUAUUGCCAGUGCUGCUCUGCUUGGAGAGAAAACUCCAUCAAUACAACUCCCAUAAAGGCAGAUCUCUGCCAAAUAUCAUUUGGAGAUGCCACAGGAUGUGGGAAUUGGCCGCUCAUUAGAGAUGCUGAGAUUUCUCUCUCUAGAAGGGCAGCCUUCCAGCCUAUGGGUAUUAAUGGGUGAUAUACAUGUGUAUGUGGGUAAAAUUCAGCUCCCAGACAUACUACAAGGUGAGCUGAUCCAGCAAACUGCAGUGAAUGUUGUUCCAUCCCUCCACAGACUUUUUACCUGGUGCCAAACAUUUGCAGUUUGAACAUCUAUCGUACUGGUAGCACUGUCUUGUAUCAACUGAUAACUCAGAGACAGUAUAGAAAAUAUACUGCUCCAUACUACCCAGUUAUUAUUUAUUUAUUUUAUAUAUAUACAAUUAAAGAUAACAAAUAUGCAUCAUUUAUAUUAUGGUGUUUGGUUGAUGCUUCAAAAUGAAGGUAACGUCUCCCUAGAUUACAGUUAGUACAACUUUUAAAACAACUAAAAAGUAACGUUCUAGAAAAUACAGGCUAAAUAUGAGAACUAUAACAUCAGAAUCUGCUGUUUGUUUUUCUUUUGAAUAUAUCUCCUAGAAUUAGAAAAUGUAUAUUUACCCUCUUAUGAGCCUAUGGAAUAAAGAUUCCCAUUUCCAGGAUAGAUAGCACAGAAAGGCAGCAGGAACUGAGAGCGGUUUGGGAACAUGAUCUCAGAGCUACCAUACAGCAGACAGUUUUUAAUAUUGAAACAAAGUACAGACAGUUAGUUGCAAACCAGCAGUAUAAAACCAGCUAAACAGUGGGUAUAUGGGUGCACUGCGCUACCCGGCGCAUAACUGUGUGGCAAAGGGUAAAAGGUGAUUUGCGCUACGAAAUUAAAAAGGCCUGUUGAAAUAUUAAGCUGCUCUGUGAAGGGUAAUAUCCUAAAUGUGGAGAGUUUAUGCAUACCGAAGCCCAGCUACAGGAAUUGCCACAGGAACUGGGCAGCAUCGGCUCAAUUCAGCCCACAGAGUUUGGUCUGGAGAGAAGUGAUGCUGACUUCACCUGCAGCGGUGGCUCCAAACAACGUGCAGAUUGUCUGAUGAGGGUUUGGAUUUCUCACGCCGCUUUGCAUAUCAGAGCUGCUUAGAACUGCGUUUAGAACUUUAAAUGGGGAGAUUGAUUUUCUGAUGAAGUCUGGGGGGACAUUUCUCAACCGAGUUAAAUGAAAAGGAAAUAAAUUUGGAGAAAAUGAAUUUGUGAAGGAGGCUUGUUUGCCUUUAUCCCUCCCCCCCCCCCAUUCGCUUUAUAAUUUUCCUUGUUUCCUGUGGUCCUUAUGAACCACCACCCAAGUGCAUGCCCAGCAGCUCGAUGCCAUCUAC
Molecule: long non-coding RNA, 3446 nt
Filed under: Gallus gallus (chicken)
Lineage: Eukaryota; Metazoa; Chordata; Aves; Galliformes; Phasianidae
Source: RNAcentral